GACGGGUGAGUAACACGUGGGUAACCUGCCCUCCUUUGGGGGAUAACAUUUGGAAACAGAUGCUAAUACCGCAUAGAUCCAAGAACCGCAUGGUUCUUGGCUGAAAGAUGGCCUAAGCUAUCGCUUUUGGAUGGACCCGCGGCGUAUUAGCUAGUUGGUGAGGUAAUGGCUCACCAAGGCGAUGAUACGUAGCCGAACUGAGAGGUUGAUCGGCCACAUUGGGACUGAGACACGGCCCAAACUCCUACGGGAGGCAGCAGUAGGGAAUCUUCCACAAUGGACGCAAGUCUGAUGGAGCAACGCCGCGUGAGUGAAGAAGGCUUUCGGGUCGUAAAACUCUGUUGUUGGAGAAGAAUGGUCGGCAGAGUAACUGUUGUCGGCGUGACGGUAUCCAACCAGAAAGCCACGGCUAACUACGUGCCAGCAGCCGCGGUAAUACGUAGGUGGCAAGCGUUAUCCGGAUUUAUUGGGCGUAAAGCGAGCGCAGGCGGUUUUUUAAGUCUGAUGUGAAAGCCCUCGGCUUAACCGAGGAAGCGCAUCGGAAACUGGGAAACUUGAGUGCAGAAGAGGACAGUGGAACUCCAUGUGUAGCGGUGAAAUGCGUAGAUAUAUGGAAGAACACCAGUGGCGAAGGCGGCUGUCUGGUCUGUAACUGACGCUGAGGCUCGAAAGCAUGGGUAGCGAACAGGAUUAGAUACCCUGGUAGUCCAUGCCGUAAACGAUGAAUGCUAGGUGUUG
RNAcentral lists this ribosomal RNA (738 nucleotides) under uncultured bacterium. RNAcentral describes it as "bacterial SSU rRNA". It matches the Rfam family "Bacterial small subunit ribosomal RNA", at positions 100 to 825 of the family's 1533-position model. The record is from RNAcentral.